This 72-nucleotide transfer RNA is filed under the name Atelura formicaria. RNAcentral describes it as "tRNA-Val". The record is from RNAcentral. Lineage: Eukaryota; Metazoa; Arthropoda; Insecta; Zygentoma; Nicoletiidae.
GGAAUGAGGCCGCAGUGAGGCGUCUCAUUUACACUGAGAAGACUGUCCGUGGUUAUUAAUCGGAUUAUUCUG